Molecule: ribosomal RNA, 386 nt
Filed under: uncultured euryarchaeote
Lineage: Archaea; Methanobacteriati; Methanobacteriota
Description: bacterial SSU rRNA
Rfam family: Archaeal small subunit ribosomal RNA
Source: RNAcentral
UCCCAGCGCCACAAGUGGCAAUCACCUUUAUUGGGCCUAAAGCGUCCGUAGCAGGUUUUGUAAAUCUUUUGUGAAAGCGUUAUACUCAAUAUAACGAAUGGCAAGAGACACUGCAAAACUAGGAACCGGGAGGAGUCAGGGGUAUUCUUGGGGGAGCGGUAAAAUGUUAUAAUCCCAAGAGGACCACCCGUGGCGUAGGCGCCUGACUAGAACGGAUUCGACUGUGAGGGACGAAAGCUAGGGGAGCAAUCCGGAUUAGAUACCCGAGUAGUCCUAGCUGUAAACUCUGUGAGCUAGGUGUGUCGUUUUCUUCGUGAAUGCGACGUGUCGGAGUGAAGAUGUUAAGCUCGCCGCCUGGGAAGUACGGUCGCAAGACUGAAACUUAA